Molecule: ribosomal RNA, 589 nt
Filed under: Cronobacter universalis
Lineage: Bacteria; Pseudomonadati; Pseudomonadota; Gammaproteobacteria; Enterobacterales; Enterobacteriaceae
Description: bacterial SSU rRNA
Rfam family: Bacterial small subunit ribosomal RNA
Source: RNAcentral
UGUGCCCUUGAGGCGUGGCUUCCGGAGCUAACGCGUUAAGUCGACCGCCUGGGGAGUACGGCCGCAAGGUUAAAACUCAAAUGAAUUGACGGGGGCCCGCACAAGCGGUGGAGCAUGUGGUUUAAUUCGAUGCAACGCGAAGAACCUUACCUGGUCUUGACAUCCAGAGAAUCCUGCAGAGAUGCGGGAGUGCCUUCGGGAACUCUGAGACAGGUGCUGCAUGGCUGUCGUCAGCUCGUGUUGUGAAAUGUUGGGUUAAGUCCCGCAACGAGCGCAACCCUUAUCCUUUGUUGCCAGCACGUGAUGGUGGGAACUCAAAGGAGACUGCCGGUGAUAAACCGGAGGAAGGUGGGGAUGACGUCAAGUCAUCAUGGCCCUUACGACCAGGGCUACACACGUGCUACAAUGGCGCAUACAAAGAGAAGCGAACUCGCGAGAGCAAGCGGACCUCAUAAAGUGCGUCGUAGUCCGGAUUGGAGUCUGCAACUCGACUCCAUGAAGUCGGAAUCGCUAGUAAUCGUGGAUCAGAAUGCCACGGUGAAUACGUUCCCGGGCCUUGUACACACCGCCCGUCACACCAUGGGAGUGG